GCUGCAUGAAGCUGGAAUCGCUAGUAAUCGCGGAUCAGAAUGCCGCGGUGAAUACGUUCCCGGGUCUUGUACACACCGCCCGUCACACCAUGGGAGUCGGAAAUGCCCGAAGUCUGUGACCUAACCGAGAGGGAGGAGCAGCCGAAGGCAGGUCUGAUGACUGGGGUGAAGUCGUAACAAGGUAUC
This 186-nucleotide ribosomal RNA is filed under the name uncultured bacterium. Its description in RNAcentral is "partial 16S ribosomal RNA". It matches the Rfam family "Bacterial small subunit ribosomal RNA", at positions 1315 to 1500 of the family's 1533-position model. The record is from RNAcentral.